RNAcentral lists this ribosomal RNA (228 nucleotides) under uncultured bacterium. Its description in RNAcentral is "partial 16S ribosomal RNA". It matches the Rfam family "Bacterial small subunit ribosomal RNA", at positions 524 to 750 of the family's 1533-position model. The record is from RNAcentral.
UACGAAGGGGGGCUAGCGUUGCUCGGAAUUACUGGGCGUAAAGCGCACGUAGGCGGUCUUUUAAGUCGGGGGUGAAAUCCUGGAGCUCAACUCCAGAACUGCCUUCGAUACUGGAAGACUUGAGUCCGGGAGAGGUGAGUGGAACUGCGAGUGUAGAGGUGAAAUUCGUAGAUAUUCGCAAGAACACCAGUGGCGAAGGCGGCUCACUGGCCCGGAACUGACGCUGAG